This is a long non-coding RNA of Micropterus salmoides (largemouth bass), 919 nucleotides long. RefSeq lists it as uncharacterized. The record is from RefSeq and is a predicted model, not a curated record. The transcript has 3 exons. Lineage: Eukaryota; Metazoa; Chordata; Actinopteri; Centrarchiformes; Centrarchidae.
ACUAAGUAGAAUUUAAUUAUAUUUUAUCAGGAAAGUCAAAGAUGCAGAAAAUGUAUUAAUUUUAGUCUUUGGUUUUAAGCAUCUUACACUUCCGCCCAAGCUGCUUUGCACCACAUGGACAUCGUCAUCUGCCACAUUUGUCAGGGACCACCAUCUUCUCAAAGACUUCCAGGCUUCUGAACCGCUUCCACUCUGAGGGCAGAACCAUGGGGUUGAGGCUGCAGGCUAUCCUACUCAAGGAUGCUGAUGAAGACAAUGUGUCACAGGACCUUGUUCUACAAAGGAUGAAAAUCAUCAAGACUACUACAUCAGACGAUCCUGACGACACUGAUAUCAUGGUAGAGGGCGGGAAAGUUCUGGCUGCUCUGGGCUUGCUCCAUGGUCGUUGGCUUGGCAUAUGCAGUUAAUCUUGCCUAUCCCAAGGAACUCAGGUACACGCUUGAAGUUUUCCAGAAACUCCUCCUCAAGCUGGAUUAUUUAAAACUGUCCCCAGGAGUGAACAGCCUCAAGAAUAAGCUACUGUACUAGCUUAAGAAAUGGGACCCUCACAGAAUGAAAUGGAACUAUUAAGUCACUGUCAAAACUGUCACAUGAUGACCCACUCACUGUGAAGGACCUACAAACUGUUACUGAAGGAGACAUUCUCUGAGUAAUAUUUGAUGACCGAGUUGAGGUGUUGGUUCUUCUAUCAGGAAUCCCGCCCACUGUGGAGGAGCUGCAACUUGUUGUAAAGGAGGCCCAUUGAAUUUCUGAGUUCAGUUUUCAGUAUUUUGAUUUGGAAAUUGGAGAUUACUUUACUCUUCAUAAAAGUGACCAAAGUAAACAUAAAGAGUUUUAUUUUGGCAUUUUGCACUUGUAAAAUAAACACUGAACAAAUGGAAACAUUUCAGAUAUAAAUGUUUAGAAAAGGUUGCAAAAA